Prunus persica (peach) is the source of this 458-nucleotide long non-coding RNA. RefSeq lists it as uncharacterized. NCBI's taxonomy places the organism in Eukaryota, Viridiplantae, Streptophyta, Magnoliopsida, Rosales, Rosaceae. The transcript has 2 exons. The record is from RefSeq and is a predicted model, not a curated record.
AUAUAAAUAAGCUUUUAUAAAUGAGUUUAUUUGGAUAAGUUUUAUGAACUGUUUCCUUUAAGCAUGAUUUGUACGGUUUAGUACUUUGAUCUACGUGAUGCUUAAUUUCUGAAGCUCUAGUAAUAUAAAAAGCAGAGUUUGAGAACUUUACCAGAGGAGAUAGCAGCAAAGCUUCAGAUUUACCGAGAUGCAGCUGUAGAAGUGCGCAGGAUCCACCACCGGGCCAUUCCUAGCUUCCGCGCCAUCAAAUCAGGUAGAGUUUUGUAGAAAAGCCCUUGGAACUCUGUAAACUUUAGAAAAUGCUCUGAUAUCUAGUUGAAACUGAAAAACUGGAGUUGAGAUCUGUUAUUUGAGAUAUUCUGGCAGUUGGUGUGGAUUUAAUUGAUUGUUUAACAGGUGGAAAACUUUGGGUUUGGUCAAAAUUCAGGGGAAACUCUGCCGAAUUUUCGGCAGAAGUC